AUUGAACGCUGGCGGCAUGCCUUACACAUGCAAGUCGAACGGCAGCACGGAGCUUGCUCUGGUGGCGAGUGGCGAACGGGUGAGUAAUAUAUCGGAACGUACCCUAGAGUGGGGGAUAACGUAGCGAAAGUUACGCUAAUACCGCAUACGAUCUAAGGAUGAAAGUGGGGGAUCGCAAGACCUCAUGCUCGUGGAGCGGCCGAUAUCUGAUUAGCUAGUUGGUAGGGUAAAAGCCUACCAAGGCAUCGAUCAGUAGCUGGUCUGAGAGGACGACCAGCCACACUGGAACUGAGACACGGUCCAGACUCCUACGGGAGGCAGCAGUGGGGAAUUUUGGACAAUGGGCGAAAGCCUGAUCCAGCAAUGCCGCGUGAGUGAAGAAGGCCUUCGGGUUGUAAAGCUCUUUUGUCAGGGAAGAAACGGUGAGAGCUAAUAUCUCUUGCUAAUGACGGUACCUGAAGAAUAAGCACCGGCUAACUACGUGCCAGCAGCCGCGGUAAUACGUAGGGUGCAAGCGUUAAUCGGAAUUACUGGGCGUAAAGCGUGCGCAGGCGGUUUUGUAAGUCUGAUGUGAAAUCCCCGGGCUCAACCUGGGAAUUGCAUUGGAGACUGCAAGGCUAGAAUCUGGCAGAGGGGGGUAGAAUUCCACGUGUAGCAGUGAAAUGCGUAGAUAUGUGGAGGAACACCGAUGGCGAAAGCAGCCCCCUGGGUCAAGAUUGACGCUCAUGCACGAAAGCGUGGGGAGCAAACAGGAUUAGAUACCCUGGUAGUCCACGCCCUAAACGAUGUCUACUAGUUGUCGGGUCUUAAUUGACUUGGUAACGCAGCUAACGCGUGAAGUAGACCGCCUGGGGAGUACGGUCGCAAGAUUAAAACUCAAAGGAAUUGACGGGGACCCGCACAAGCGGUGGAUGAUGUGGAUUAAUUCGAUGCAACGCGAAAAACCUUACCUACCCUUGACAUGGCUGGAAUCCCCGAGAGAUUGGGGAGUGCUCGAAAGAGAACCAGUACACAGGUGCUGCAUGGCUGUCGUCAGCUCGUGUCGUGAGAUGUUGGGUUAAGUCCCGCAACGAGCGCAACCCUUGUCAUUAGUUGCUACGAAAGGGCACUCUAAUGAGACUGCCGGUGACAAACCGGAGGAAGGUGGGGAUGACGUCAAGUCCUCAUGGCCCUUAUGGGUAGGGCUUCACACGUCAUACAAUGGUACAUACAGAGCGCCGCCAACCCGCGAGGGGGAGCUAAUCGCAGAAAGUGUAUCGUAGUCCGGAUUGUAGUCUGCAACUCGACUGCAUGAAGUUGGAAUCGCUAGUAAUCGCGGAUCAGCAUGUCGCGGUGAAUACGUUCCCGGGUCU
This 1352-nucleotide ribosomal RNA is filed under the name uncultured bacterium. RNAcentral describes it as "bacterial SSU rRNA". It matches the Rfam family "Bacterial small subunit ribosomal RNA", at positions 28 to 1381 of the family's 1533-position model. The record is from RNAcentral.